Molecule: ribosomal RNA, 1743 nt
Filed under: Salmonella enterica subsp. enterica serovar Kentucky
Lineage: Bacteria; Pseudomonadati; Pseudomonadota; Gammaproteobacteria; Enterobacterales; Enterobacteriaceae
Description: partial 23S ribosomal RNA
Rfam family: Bacterial large subunit ribosomal RNA
Source: RNAcentral
AAGCCAGUGGUGAACUCCACAUACGCAUCCUUUGCUGAAGGUGCGGUUAACGGAGCGCAAGCGACGUUCAACCUCAAAAGAAGCAGAGGGGGCUUAGUGGUGGGGUGACUGCGUACCUUUUGUAUAAUGGGUCAGCGACUUAUAUUCUGUAGCAAGGUUAACCGCAUAGGGGAGCCGGAGGGAAACCGAGUCUUAAUUGGGCGUUAAGUUGCAGGGUAUAGACCCGAAACCCGGUGAUCUAGCCAUGGGCAGGUUGAAGGUUGGGUAACACUAACUGGAGGACCGAACCGACUAAUGUUGAAAAAUUAGCGGAUGACCUGUGGCUGGGGGUGAAAGGCCAAUCAAACCGGGAGAUAGCUGGUUCUCCCCGAAAGCUAUUUAGGUAGCGCCUCGUGAAUUCAUCUCCGGGGGUAGAGCACUGUUUCGGCUAGGGGGCCAUCCCGGCUUACCAACCCGAUGCAAACUGCGAAUACCGGAGAAUGUUAUCACGGGAGACACACGGCGGGUGCUAACGUCCGUCGUGAAGAGGGAAACAACCCAGACCGCCAGCUAAGGUCCCAAAGUCAUGGUUAAGUGGGAAACGAUGUGGGAAGGCCCAGACAGCCAGGAUGUUGGCUUAGAAGCAGCCAUCAUUUAAAGAAAGCGUAAUAGCUCACUGGUCGAGUCGGCCUGCGCGGAAGAUGUAACGGGGCUAAACCAUGCACCGAAGCUGCGGCAGCGACGCUGAUGCGUUGUUGGGUAGGGGAGCGUUCUGUAAGCCUGUGAAGGUGGCCUGUGAGGGUUGCUGGAGGUAUCAGAAGUGCGAAUGCUGACAUAAGUAACGAUAAAGCGGGUGAAAAGCCCGCUCGCCGGAAGACCAAGGGUUCCUGUCCAACGUUAAUCGGGGCAGGGUGAGUCGACCCCUAAGGCGAGGCCGAAAGGCGUAGUCGAUGGGAAACGGGUUAAUAUUCCCGUACUUGGUGUUACUGCGAAGGGGGGACGGAGAAGGCUAUGUUGGCCGGGCGACGGUUGUCCCGGUUUAAGCGUGUAGGUGUGUGUUCCAGGUAAAUCCGGUUCACUUUAACACUGAGGCGUGAUGACGAGGCACUACGGUGCUGAAGCAACAAAUGCCCUGCUUCCAGGAAAAGCCUCUAAGCAUCAGGUAACAUCAAAUCGUACCCCAAACCGACACAGGUGGUCAGGUAGAGAAUACCAAGGCGCUUGAGAGAACUCGGGUGAAGGAACUAGGCAAAAUGGUGCCGUAACUUCGGGAGAAGGCACGCUGACACGUAGGUGAAGUGAUUUACUCACGGAGCUGAAGUCAGUCGAAGAUACCAGCUGGCUGCAACUGUUUAUUAAAAACACAGCACUGUGCAAACACGAAAGUGGACGUAUACGGUGUGACGCCUGCCCGGUGCCGGAAGGUUAAUUGAUGGGGUCAGCGCAAGCGAAGCUCCUGAUCGAAGCCCCGGUAAACGGCGGCCGUAACUAUAACGGUCCUAAGGUAGCGAAAUUCCUUGUCGGGUAAGUUCCGACCUGCACGAAUGGCGUAAUGAUGGCCAGGCUGUCUCCACCCGAGACUCAGUGAAAUUGAACUCGCUGUGAAGAUGCAGUGUACCCGCGGCAAGACGGAAAGACCCCGUGAACCUUUACUAUAGCUUGACACUGAACAUUGAGCCUUGAUGUGUAGGAUAGGUGGGAGGCUUUGAAGUGUGGACGCCAGUCUGCAUGGAGCCGACCUUGAAAUACCACCCUUUAAUGUUU